CUCUCUUUAGAGUGGCGUGCCCCAAGCUAGUUCUCUCUCUCUCUCUCUUUCUCUCUCUCUCUUGUUCUCUAAAGUAAGAUUUAGUUAGAUGAAGUGAGGCAAAGUGAGUUGGUCUUAGAUGAUCUUAGUGAGAGAAAGUUGAAUUGAGCUCCAUUAAAGCUUAAUCAAAGCUCUAUCAAUUUAGAUUUAUCAGAAAGCAUCGUGGUGUUCAGUUUGAGUGAGAUCUUCUUCAACCUUGAAGUAAUCCAUGAUUGCAAAACAUCAUUUAUAGCAAGGUAUCUCUAUCUCCUAGUUUCUUGAAGAGGUUUUGAUAUCUAAGAUUGAUCUAUGUCAUUUCUUGAAGAGGUUUUGAUAUCUAAGAUUGAUCUAUGUCUUUAAGGGUGUGAUCUAUAGUUGAUUGUGUUGAUCUUUUGAGGGAAUUUUCAUCGAGUUUUAUAGGAUUUAAUUGACCAGACUUUCUGAGAAUUUUGGGAUCAGAAUUAGUCAAUUAAAUCACAUAAUUGGUAGAAUAUUUUGGAGAAUUUCUAAGGGAUACUCCAAGCUAUGCUCGUUUGAUUACGAGCUAGAUCUUGAAGUUUUGUGCCACCAUAUUCUCCCCCAUUUUUCCUACUUGCUUGAUACCAUUUUUGAAAGGUUAUUUCACCAUUAAAAGUGAAAAAUCCAAGAUGCAAAUUCUUCAUGUUGUGUUGAUAGUGUAAAAUUGGCCAUAACUGUGAUAUUUACCUUCACAUGUCACUCUAGUAUAUAGCUAGGACCUUGGCCAUAAAUUGGGCACCAAGAGCUUUUUAAGGCUUCCCAUGAUCAUGUUACUUAGUACUUGAGCAUUUAUGUGUUUGUAAUGUGGAGAUCAAAUUUUGAUGUGUUUGUAUUAAAAAUUGAUCUAUAAUUUUGCAUUGUAAUUUUGUAUAGUGCUAAAAUUUCAAGAGCAUUGGUAAUGAGUGUAUAUACUUGAUCUCCUUGCAUGAUUUAUUUUUACAAAGAACCCAAAGUAAGUUGUAUCCUCAUUGUAAAGAGUGCAUGGAAGGUUUUUUAGUGGUUGUAACUUGGUUUUAUGUGGCUGUAAUUGAGGCAAAAAGUGCCAUAUGUCUUGUAAGCAUGUAAAAUUGAAGUUGUAUUGCCAAAAUUAAGUGUAAAUUUCAAGAGUUAUACCUUAAUCUUGGUUUCCUAUACUAUCAAGUGGUAUCAUGACCAAGCUCUAAAAGAGGUUCCUUUGUCCAUUUUUGUUGAGUUUUGGAGUGUAUUAAAGUUGUUCUUCAAGUACAUGGUCAUGGCAGCAAGCUAUUGUGACCGAGCUCCUUAAGAAUGAGAAAUUUAAUUGCUCCAAUUACCUAGAGUGGAGAAGGAAGGUUGAUUAUGUGCUUCAUGAGAAAGGGCUGAUACCUCGCAUUACUCAAGAUCCUCGUCAUGAACCUAGAUCCAAUGCCACAAAAGUUACAAGAGGUUCCUACAUGAUUUGGAUAACUCGGAAUCAAAGUGCUAAAAAUAUUCUACUAGCUACUAUGUGAUACACAUAUGCUCGAGAAUAUUGUUGGGGUUGUGGCCUUUUAGGGCCUUGACACUGAAAUUUUCUACAGUUCUUAGUCCCAAAAAAUGUGACUACUGGAUUUGUGCGAACUGGAAUUCGGAGCUGCACCAAAACCUUGAAGCAUGAGGCUUGAUUUAAGGGGCAUUAUAACAAAAAGGGUUUGACGGUUCCCUUGAUCAGGGUCGGUGAGUUCGCCUCAUAAUUGGUUUGAGCCAGGGCGUAAUAUUUCACCUCAUAAUCGGUUUGAGACUUUUGGAGAUUAUCUUUUAGGAAUUUUUAUAUUUUUUUGGAAUUUUUUAAGGUAAAAUUCUCUUAAAAUAAAUUCUUUUGAUCAAUUUCGCCUAAAGACAGGUCCCAUAAGGCCCAAAUGGCCAAUGGACCUCACAAGGAAUGUCCACAUGGCUGAUGAUGUCAGCCUCACAUAAGCCUAGUGGGUGAUGUCAGCCACAAAAGUGGGCGUCCCCCGUUUCUCUCUUGAGGGUGCUUUUGCAAUGUUCGGAUUGUUGCCUGGGUAGAUAGUUUGAUCCUUCAUUUUUUUCCUAAAAUCAUAAGUUUUAAACCAAUGGGAGCUUAGAUCCAAAAGAACUUUAUUAGGCGUUAAUCUCUCAUUACUCACAUUGAGUUUAUGAUAUGAAGUGUGUUAUGACGCACCACAUUUGUAGAGGGCUUGAGGUGUUGAGUGAGAAAAUACCUUCAUUUCAAAUUCAACAUAUUUUUUUUGGUAAGUAAAAAGAUAAGUCAGUGGGGAUUUGGGCCCUACCUUUUGGUGAGAAUGGAACAUAGUUUUUUUGGUAAGUAAAAAGAUGAGUCAGUGGGGAUUUGGGCCCUACCUUUUGGUGAGAAUGGAGUAAGAGAUUUCAUCAUAGAACCGUUGGUACUAUCACGUAGGCUCCAACCCAUUAUCUAAAAAAGGUAAAGUCUAAGGGAAUUUUUGGGCCCUACCCUUUGAUGAAAAUGGAGCCAACGACUUCACCACAAAAACUCGUUUUAGAGUGAGCAUAAUUUUUGUAGAGAAUUGACGGGUAUUGCCCUCCUUAUGAUUUUAUCUUCUUAUAGUAUUCCGAAAGUAAGGGAAAAUGAGAUUUUAUAAAAUUAAUUAGUUUGAAAAAUUUGAAGUUGCCUCACUCAUGUGAGGAUAUGGUGGAGGAUUGCAACCACACAUCUAUAAUCGAUAGAUGCGAGGUUCGAUGACUAAGAUCUUGCCUCUCUCCAAGCUUUUAAUGCUCAAAAUUUGUGAUCUCAAUUCAAUCUAACAAAAGGCCAACUAAAGAACCCUAGCUACUCUCUAUAAAUACCCAUUAUCUCUUAAACUCUAAUAAACCUUUAAAAAGAGAGAAUCCCAACGUGUGGUUUUGAGAGAAACAUGCAGAGAUAGUUAGAGGAAGAGAGCCCUUUCCUUGUUUCAUUAUCUGUACACCCAUAGAGUAUGUAUUGGUGGCCAAUCUUGGAGCACAGAAGGAGUACCUUUGGUGAAUUUUAGCUCGUUGUUUCUUACUGUUCUUGUACAUUUAUAGUGAGGUAAAUUAUCCUUUUUCUUGGUUCAAUUGCCAUUCCUUCCAUGCAUGUCUAUUUCUACACUACCUCGAAUGACUAUGCAUUGAAUUGAAUCCAUUUCCCUAACAUUUGGGUAAGUAUUUCUUUGCAAAAGUUACUGCACUUUGUGACCCAUAUAAACAGCCCAUCACCUUAAAAAGUUAUAUUUUACAAGGGGUCAUAAUGCUAACAUUUUUCCCCUUAGACUCCAUUAAUAUUUUCAUGCUCCAUAAAGUACUAUUGUACUCCACGUGCCAUUACCCUUGAUAUGCCUCAUAUAAUAGUUCCAUUUGAUGGGUUGUGGUGAUGAUAUGAGUUUAGCCUUGCUGAUAUAUACUUCCUAUUAAAUUGCAUUGAGAUUAGACCACUUGUGUCUUACUGUCGGGAAGGUUUGUGACUAAGAUCUUAAUCGGCCAAAUUUGUUUAUGAAAUUGGAUUCCCAUGAUUUAGAGACCGUACAAUUUUGGUUUUAUAUAUAUUUGAGAUUGGCUGAAGUUUGUGUAUUUAAUGGUUAUGUUAUUCAUGUCAAUGAACUGGUCGAGUUGAGAACUGUUUUGGAUGUAAUUUGUUUAUAUAACUUUGUGUUGUGGCCAAAUCUCUAUAUUGAGUUUAAAGUGGAACUAGUAACGGACCAAUCAGUUGUCUUGUAAUUUGUAAUUUGGUGUGUGUUUAAUUGUGUAUUUAUGAGUUAAAAAGACUUCUUUCUUACUGUAAUUUCAGUCUUGAGGCUAUAAUUUGGAUAUUUUAUUAAAAUUUUUAUAAGUUGUAGUACCUUGACACCCUAACAAAGAUGAAGAGUGUAUGUCAGUCAAAGAAAUCUCAGAAAAUAUGAAGAAAACACAAGAUACUUCCUCUUACCCUGGCAAGAUCUUGAUUAUGAGGAAGUUUCUUUAUUAUGGGAUGCCGGAGCAUUUUAAGAUUGAUGAUCAAGUGAGAACCCUUAAGCAUAUAGUUAAGGAUGUGGAGGCGGCCGGCAUGUGCCUACUCAAACCACUGUCUUCUCGACUGCUCUUUCUCCUUCAUGGGAGAAUUUCUUGGCGAAUUUGAUGGUUCGUGACACUCCUACAUCUACAUCCAUUGAGGACAUCACCUUCUUCCUUUAGGCCAAAGAGUAGCUACAAUCGGUGAGCUUGAAUGGACCAAAGACCGUAAACUCUAAUCCCUCCUGUUCUCUUCCAGCCCAUAAUGUGAAUGCAGGAGGUACAAUAAAAAUGCUAAAAGGAAGAAAGGGAAAAGGAAAGAUGAACAAGCCAAAGAGAAAAAGCCACCAUAUCGAUCAGGGGGUAAUAACCAAAUGGAAAAUGCCUUUAAUCAUAGGGGAAAACCACCAUAUCAGCCCAAUCACUUUUGUAAUGUGCAAUGCCAGAGGAGUAAGAGAUAAAUCCACCGCUUUCUAAUCGGUUUUUUUGUAGUCUUGAAAACGUGUUUUUAAUGUUUUAAUCAAAAUAAUGAAUUUUUCCUUGUAUUUUCUAAAUAAUACAGUUUAAAAUGUAUUACAACAAAAUGACGCCUUUUUGUAAAAGUCGUUAUUUUCAGUGCGACUUGCUAACUAUGUCUGUGACUUUUGAUGUGAUGAUCGGGAUCCAUACGUAGUGUCUUGAUUCUGGUCUUGUAAGAAUGUUAAGCCUGACACUCACACACAUGCAUGGGAGGAAACUAAAAGGAACAAUCUAGGCUAUGACGAUUAUAUGUGAUGAAUUAUUACUUUGGAAUUUAAGAUUGGAUCAUAACAGUAAAUCAAGAAUGGAAAGAUUAAUGAGCGAUGAUCUUUUUCAGAAGAUGAUGUGGAUUUUCAAAAUAAGUGUGAGGCUGUCUAUUUUCAAAUUAAGUGUGAGCGAUGUAGACAAGGAAAAAUGAUUAAAAAAUCCCAUAACAAUGUUUAAAGGACUACGAGCCUGUUCGAAUUAAAUCACACCGAUAUAUGCGGUCCUAUGAGUGUGGCCUUAAAAAGACAUGAUAUAUUUAUUAUAUUCAUUGAUGAUCACUCCUGGUAUUGCCAUGCGUAUCUCCUCCAAAAUAAAAACUUUAAUAACAUUCAUAGAAUAUAAGGCCGAGGUUAAAAACCAAGUAGGUAACAAAAUUAAGAACCUUGGUUCGGAUUGAGGUGGUGAGUAUACAUCCCAUGCUUUUUAUGACUGUAUAAAAAAUGACACUAUAUACCAAAUUAUCAUGCUUUAUUCUCCCGAACAAAAUGGGGUUGCUAAAAGAAGGUAUAGGACCCUAAGAGAAAUGGUGCGGGAUAGAACAUGAACUGUCAAACUUGGAUUGGAGUUUUGGGGAGAGGUGACUGUCACAUACAUCUUGUGUUCGCAAAAUCGAACCGGAAUGGUAAAUCGGACAUGGGCAUGGAAGUGGUUUAACCGGCCUAACAGGUAAACCGGCUGAUUCAACCGCCCUAAUCGGGCAAGUCUCGAGCAAUAAAAAAAGUGUAGAAAAAAAAAAAAAUCUACUAAAAUAUGAAGAGCAUAUAAAAGAAUGAUUAAAAUAAAACACAUUCAAACGAAGUUGAAAAUUAAUGAAAAAGUGGAUUUUAACCCAUUUUAUAUUUUCCAAUGGCUAUUUUUAAAAUUUUUUAAAAGUUUGAGAAAAUAUAAAAACGAGUAUUAAUGACCAAAACAAUUUUUAAGCUUUACCAUAAUGUAAAUAAUAUUUAAAAAUACAUUACAAAUCAAAUUCCUUAUUUUUGAGAAUUUAUAUAUAUUUUUUUGAUUUUUUUUUUUUAAAUACCAGUUGAUUACCCUAACCGCCCAAAAUCGGAAUCGACCACUAGCCGGUUCCAAUCUAAGCGGGCGGUUAGCGAUUAGAUCGGGCGAUUUUGCGAACAAUGCAUACAUCCUCAACUAGACUCCCACUAAGGCAGAAGCAUCAACUUCAUAUCAUUUUAUUAAGCACUUCAAAGUUUGAGCUUGUUCAACACUUGUCUAGAUCCCUUCAUAAAAUAGAGCUAAACUUGGGCAUAAGACCAUUAAAUGUGUUUUCAUUGGUUAUCCAAAUAUUAGACUUAUCCAAGAGAAAUGUACUCGAAAGUUGUGAUUGACAUUUGUUUGAUGAUGAAUUCCUUGAGGGAAGAGUGAGUAAUAAACGAGUGGUUUUUUAUGAGAAAGAAAGGACAAGCAAAUAAAGAGUUCAACCAUACAAUUGAACCGACCUAAAAGGAGUCAAAGAAUAAAAAGACUACCCGAUUUUUUCACUUACCCAAGUGAGGUGAGGAACCCGAUCAUGAGCCCAUUACAUACUAAGAAGCCAUAAAUUACACCAAAUUAACACAAUGGAGGGACACCAUGGAAGAUGAAAUGGAUUCCAUUAAGUAAAACAAUGUUUGGGAGUUAGUACCACCUAACCAGAGAGCUAUAUGUUGUAAGUGGGUCUUAAAAAGAAACUGAACUCCGAGGGGCAAUUAGAGAAGUAAAUUGUAGCUAAGGGUUUUACUUAAAAGGAAAGGGUUGAUUACCACGACACUUGUUUACUGGUUGCUAAAAUGGGCUCCAUUAUGAUUAUAUUUGCCAUAACCAUCAAAGGAUCAAGUUCAAGACUUCUCUCUCUCAGAAUUGACGGAUUUUGGUGAGUUCGGAGGAAAACAAAAUUGGAAACCCAAAGAGAUCCCAAACACUAAGAAGAGCGUCGACAUCUUCCGAGACAGUUCGUUCAAAGACCUUGAGGUAUCUUUCUUUAGAUUGAGACAUAGAACUAGGAUUCUAUGGACAAGAGAAUACCUGGUGGUUUUUAGUCCCAAAAGUUUCAGUCAAGGUCAGUUUAGCUCAUGGAAAAUUAGUUAAUCAAUCACAGCUUUAAAGAACAACACUGAAAACGUUUUUCAAAAUUUAGCUUCUAGGAGUUCAAUUUGGUAGCAAACUAUUAGAAAUUUUAAAAAAGGAAAAUUUUACAAAAUAAACCCCUUAAUGAAGAUUUCCAUGUCCAUCACUGCAUGACAUUAAACUGCUUAGAAGGCUCCAUGGUUGUAUGUGCUUAAACCGCUAAGUAAGUCAUUUUUCAUAAAAUCUCCUCCUUUCAAAAUGUUCUUUUCAUUUCAGCUUUCUUAAUUCCUAAUUUCUUAAAUUUAAUUUUUAAUUCUUAUUUUUAUAAUUCUAAAUUUCCAAAACUCCAAAUACAGGGGUAGCUCUAAUUUAGAUGCUUUCGAAAUUCUAUGUUGUCAUUUCAAAAACUUUAAUUUUUUUUAUUUAAAAAGGGUAACCUAGUAUCAAUAUGUGUUUCUAAAAACUUCUCCUUGUUUUUCAAAAUUUUCUAAAAUAUUUUAAAACCUAAGGGAGUUGGAUCUGCCUGGAAAAUGAUGGCAUAGUCCCGUCAUUCAUAUUUCAAAUCCGAGUUCUAAGAAAUUGCUUGAUCCAGAGAAUUGAAAGUGCAAUGGGGAAGGGAAAACCUAAGCAAAACCUUCAUAUUGAUGUAUCUUUAGACCUUCUUAAGGACCUCCGAAGUUAUUAGAAGCCUUCAUUAGAAAUCUUUGCUAAAACCAAACUCCCUCAAACUUUCGACCUUUGAGCCCUACGAAGCUUUAGGUGCAAAAGAGUCAAAGGAUUUUGAGAUAAAGAUAAAUUUAUAUUCAUUUAACUUCAUUUCAUUUCAGAUUUCAAAAGUUACAAAUAGUGGCAUAAUGGAACCCAUGCAGCAAUCCCCACAUAUAUUAUGUCAACAUAUGAGAGAACGCUCAGACGUGGUCCUGAAUAGUAGGCUAAGAUAGAAUGGCAAUUAAUAUGCCAAUGGAUCUGAUGGGACAACCAUUUUUUGACCAUUGGUUCUAAGUCUUUCUAGUUUCAAUCAGUCAGUCUCGAGUGUCUACUUCUUUGCCAUCUCCUGUCCCUCCAGGGACAGGGGAUGCCAAAGAGGAGAAACUAUUGACAACCCCUCCGAAUUCAUUUUUAUUUAUGGAUUCUAAAGCCCUAGACACACUAUUCCAAUACACUAUAGGACACACUAAACCAUAGUUAUGCCCAAACCAUAGUCCAGCCCAAAAUAUUCCUUUAACCGAUCCUAAAUACCCCAUUACAGUAAGCCAAAUAUUUCCUAGUGACCCCAAACUAACUAAAAUAGGCAAGCUCCUAUGCAAGUUGGAGAGAAAAUAUUUGAAGGUCUUCAAACCAAAAUUUUCUGAUCAAAAUUGACAAGUGAAUAUCAUCAUACUCAAAAUCCUAGAAAAAUCGGCAUUAAACUUCUACGCUACACAGUGCGGCAUGGCCAAGUGUCACCUCUGGAAUGGCGCAUAUUGCCAACUUCCUGUUUUGUGGUAGUUUUUGCCUAUAAAAAGAACUUUUCCAGCCGAUUUUCACCAAGAUCUCAAUACGAAUAGAAACUCUAAACCUAAUCCCUAAUUAUAAAAACAUGUAGCCUACAAAACCCUAGACUUAAGCCAUUAAAACCCUAGUUCUAGGAUCCUGCUCAAACCAACUUCAGAUAUUGAAAAAAAUGCCUAUUUAGUUAUUCAAAGCCUUAGAUAUGAAAUUCCUCGGCAUCACUCUCUUUCCCAAAGUGCAGUUAAUCAUUUAGGAUCCUAACCUCAAAGAUCAAAGAGCAAUGGCUUAAUCUUCUCCUUCUGAUAUGGACCCAACUCCUAAAGCCCAGCCUUCCAGGUUCUUUCUAUUUUUUGUACCUUAUUUUCUUUAUUUUUUACUAUUUUCUUCAGAUAUUUAGUUUCAUUUGCUUAGUAAAUUUGUUAUUCUUGCUUUCCUUUGUUUCUCUUGUUUCUUUUCAUUAGAUUUUUUAGUUUAAUUAGUAUUCAUCUUUUCUUUCAUGGAAUUUCAUCCUUAUUCUUUUAGUAAAUUUACUUUGCUUGUUUCCUUUUCAAUCUUGUUUUCUCUUUAUUUUGUUUCUUUCAGGUUUCACACCACCUAAGUCAGCUCGGCCACAUAUUCGUAAAGAAUAGGUCUUGUAAAGCUAAUUUCUUCAUAGAUCUGAAUGUGAUGAAACCCCACUCUCUCAACUAUUUAAAUAUUAAGUUUGGAUACAAUCUCAAACAGAUCAAACUUUGAUUAGUGUAGUUAGUCUUAAAAUCACGUGUAAACAAAAGCAACGGGUAAAGGUCUGCUGCAUCCUUAGUAGAGCUCUCUUUUUCAUUGAAUAAAGCAAUGGGUAAGGUUGUGGUGCAUCCUUAAUACAGCUUUGUUGAUCAUGGAUAAAUAAAAUAAUUGGGUGAAAAGAACACAGUAAAUCAAUGGAUACCUCCCCCACAAGAAAAAAACUAAAUUAAAUUUUAAUUGGACUUCCCUUGGGAACCGGGACCUAGGCAGGACUGGAGGUCUAUGCCUGAUUAGAGAUCACAAUGCUCAUUUGUUCUUAUCCUUUUCAGGUCUGGUAGGCAGCUCUAAUACCAGUGAAGAGAAGGCAAAGGCCAAAUUAGAAGGUAAAAAAUUGGUAGAAAACUACUAGGGAGGAGUUAACAAGUGGUGGAGUGAAAUGUGCCAUAGAGAUCAAAUCCAAUUUUUUUCAGAUUAUGGACAUAACAAGGGAUGGGGAGAACACUACAGUCAUCGUCAUGAAGAAUGCAACAUGGACGUACAUUCGCUUGGCAAACAAUGCUCUAGCCAACCAAUUUUUUGAGUCAAUGUAUGUUGAAUGAUGUAUACAUUAAUAAAAGGAGUUGUAUACUACAAGGCCAUUUAGUUUUUACUACAUGGAUGCCACAAUCAAUCCUAGCUAUUGGAUGUGAAACUCGACAACUUGGGUGUGUAUUACAAAGUUCAAGAAAUUUUAUUUUGGAUUUUGUAUCAAUUCAAUGAUAUACC
RNAcentral lists this long non-coding RNA (9792 nucleotides) under Amborella trichopoda. Its description in RNAcentral is "long non-coding RNA (ATRI_LNC001081)". The record is from RNAcentral. Lineage: Eukaryota; Viridiplantae; Streptophyta; Magnoliopsida; Amborellales; Amborellaceae.